Molecule: ribosomal RNA, 489 nt
Filed under: uncultured bacterium
Lineage: Bacteria
Description: bacterial SSU rRNA
Rfam family: Bacterial small subunit ribosomal RNA
Source: RNAcentral
GGCUCAGAUUGAACGCUGGCGGCAUGCCUUACACAUGCAAGUCGAACGGCAGCGGACCGUUCGGGUGCCGGCGAGUGGCGAACGGGUGAGUAAUAUAUCGGAACGUACCUUCAGUGGGGGAUAACGUAGCGAAAGUUACGCUAAUACCGCAUAUUCUGUGAGCAGGAAAGCAGGGGAUCGCAAGACCUUGCGCUGAUUGAGCGGCCGAUAUCAGAUUAGCUAGUUGGUGAGGUAAAGGCUCACCAAGGCGACGAUCUGUAGCGGGUCUGAGAGGAUGAUCCGCCACACUGGAACUGAGACACGGUCCAGACUCCUACGGGAGGCAGCAGUGGGGAAUUUUGGACAAUGGGCGCAAGCCUGAUCCAGCCAUGCCGCGUGAGUGAAGAAGGCCUUCGGGUUGUAAAGCUCUUUCGGCCGGGAAGAAAUCGCACAGGUUAAUACCCUGUGUGGAUGACGGUACCGGAAUAAGAAGCACCGGCUAACUACGUG